Molecule: ribosomal RNA, 1367 nt
Filed under: uncultured bacterium
Lineage: Bacteria
Description: bacterial SSU rRNA
Rfam family: Bacterial small subunit ribosomal RNA
Source: RNAcentral
AGAGUUUGAUCUCUGGCUCAGGAUGAACGCUGGCGGCGUGCCUAUUACAUGCAAGUCGAACGAAGAGAUGAAGCUAAGCUUGCUUAGCAUCUGAUCUUAGUGGCGAACGGGUGAGUAAUACAUAAACAACCUGCCCCGAUGUCUGGGAUAACAGUUGGAAACGACUGCUAAUACCGGAUAAGUUACCUGAAGGCAUCUUCAGAAAACGAAAGAUGGGAUACAUCGCAACGGGAUGGAUUUAUGGCGCAUUAGUUAGUAGGUGAGGUAACGGCUCACCUAGACGAAGAUGCGUAGCCGGCCUGAGAGGGUGACCGGCCACACUGGGACUGAGACACGGCCCAGACUCCUACGGGAGGCAGCAGUAGGGAAUUUUCGGCAAUGGGGGAAACCCUGACCGAGCGACGCCGCGUGAGUGAAGAAGGCCUUCGGGUUGUAAAGCUCUGUUGUAAGGGAAGAAAUGUACGGAUAGGGAAUGAUCUGUGCUUGACGGUACCUUACCAGAAAGCCACGGCUAACUACGUGCCAGCAGCCCGCGGUAAUACGUAGGUGGCAAGCCGUUAUCCGGAAUUAUUGGGCGUAAAGGGAGCGCAGGCGGCUUAUUAAGUCUGAGGUUAAAGUUCGGGGCUCAACCCCGUGAUCCCUUAGAAACUGGUAGGCUAGAGUGCAGGAGAGGUGAGUGGAAUUCCAUGUGUAGCGGUAAAAUGCGUAGAUAUAUGGAGGAACACCAGUGGCGAAGGCGGCUCACUGGCCUGUAACUGACGCUGAGGCUCGAAAGCGUGGGGAGCAAAAAGGAUUAGAUACCCUAGUAGUCCACGCCGUAAACGCCCAAAACUAAGUGUUAGGAUAGAAUCUCAGUGUUGUAGAUAGCGGCAAUAAGUAUCCCCGGCCUGGGGGGUAUGCGCGCAAGCGUAAAACUCAAAGGAAUUGACGAGGGCCCGCACAAGCGGUGGAGUAUGUGGUUUAAUUCGAUGCAACGCGAAGAACCUUACCUGGUCUUGACAUGCCACGCAAAAGCUUAGAGAUAAGUAAUAGUUAUGGUGGAUACAGGUGGUGCAUGGUUGUCGUCAGCUCGUGUCGUGAGAUGUUGGGUUAAGUCCCGCAACGAGCGCAACCCUUGUCUUUAGUUACCAUCAUUAAGUUGGGGACUCUAAAGAGACUGCCGGUGAUAAACCGGAGGAAGGUGGGGAUGACGUCAAAUCAUCAUGCCCCUUAUGAUCAGGGCUACACACGUACUACAAUGGCAUAUACAGAGGGCAGCGAAAUAGUGAUAUGGAGCGAAUCUCAGAAAGUAUGUCUCAGUUCGAAUUGUUGUCUGCAACUCGACAACAUGAAGUCGGAAUCGCUAGUAAUCGCAGAUCAGAAUGCUG